AUACGGAGGAUGCAAGCGUUAUCCGGAUUUAUUGGGUUUAAAGGGUGCGUAGGCGGUUUGCUAAGCGGGAGGUGAAAUGCCGGCGCUCAACGUCGGAAGUGCCUCCCGAACUGGUGGACUUGAAUGACUCUGCCGUGGGAGGAAUGUGUAGUGUAGCGGUGAAAUGCUUAGAGAUUACACAGAACACCGAUUGCGAAGGCAACUCACGAAGGGUUGAUUGACGCUGAGGCACGAAAGCGUGGGGAUCAAACAGGAUUAGAUACCCUGGUAGUCCACGCAGUAAACGAUGAUGGCUAACCGCUGGGCUUAUCAGUUCAGUGGCCAAGCGAAAGCGAUAAGCCAUCCACCUGGGGAGUACGACCGCAAGGUUGAAACUCAAAGGAAUUGGCGGGG
RNAcentral lists this ribosomal RNA (393 nucleotides) under uncultured bacterium. Its description in RNAcentral is "partial 16S ribosomal RNA". It matches the Rfam family "Bacterial small subunit ribosomal RNA", at positions 523 to 918 of the family's 1533-position model. The record is from RNAcentral.